RNAcentral lists this ribosomal RNA (482 nucleotides) under uncultured bacterium. RNAcentral's name for it is "bacterial SSU rRNA". It matches the Rfam family "Bacterial small subunit ribosomal RNA", at positions 501 to 985 of the family's 1533-position model. The record is from RNAcentral.
CUACGUGCCAGCAGCCGCGGUAAUACGGAAGGUCCAGGCGUUAUCCGGAUUUAUUGGGUUUAAAGGGAGCGUAGGCUGGAGAUUAAGUGUGUUGUGAAAUGUAGACGCUCAACGUCUGAAUUGCAGCGCAUACUGGUUUCCUUGAGUACGCACAACGUUGGCGGAAUUYGUCGUGUAGCGGUGGAAUGCAUAGAUAUCACGCAGAACUCCGAUUGCGAAGGCAGCUUACUAAGGUACAACUGACGCUGAAGCACGAAAGCGUGGGUAUCAAACAGGAUUAGAUACCCUGGUAGUCCACGCAGUAAACGAUGAUAACUGGGCGUAUGCGAUAUACAGUAUGCUCCUAAGCGAAAGCGUUAAGUUAUCCACCUGGGGAGUACGCCGGCAACGGUGAAACUCAAAGGAAUUGACGGGGGCCCGCACAAGCGGAGGAACAUGUGGUUUAAUUCGAUGAUACGCGAGGAACCUUACCCGGGAUUGAA